GGGUGUAGCUCAGUGAUAGAGCACUUGCCUUGUGCGCAGGAGGCCCUCCGUUUGAUCCCCAGCACUAAACA
This 71-nucleotide transfer RNA is filed under the name Marmota monax (woodchuck). Its description in RNAcentral is "tRNA.Thr". The record is from RNAcentral. Lineage: Eukaryota; Metazoa; Chordata; Mammalia; Rodentia; Sciuridae.